CUUUACUCAGUCUCUUGAUUUAAAUGUCAAUCUCUUUCAAAAACUCCCUCACAGACACAUCCAGAAUAAUAUUUGACCAAAUUUCUGGGCCCAGUCAACUUGACACAUAAAAUUAACCAUCCUAGAUAUGUUGUCCUGAUCUUACCUUGGAUGCCAAACCCUUGGCAGACCUUGGAGACAGGACUUUUUCUCUACUGUGGGCCAGAUCAAAAUGCUGCCCUUGGCUUCCUCCUCCAGGAACCAUGUAUGCCCUUCCCCACCCUGAACAGAGGAGGUUUUCUCCCAUUUCAUGGCCAAGGGGAGGAAGUAGAUUUCAGUUCCGUAUCCCAUCCGUGACUCCCCAGAUCCUUCUAAUUCACCUGUCUGGACACCUGGACACAGCAAGCGCACCCCAUGCAGGGUGGAGAGGUCCAGGGUGGGGGCCAGGGGGAGGAUGUGAUGACCCGAGGCAGCGCGGGUCUCAGGAGCGGGUGAGCAGCCCUAUCCUGUUCUCGGAUGUGGCCGGGUCCCGGGGGUGUGUCCUGCGCCUCUGGGCGGUGUCACUGCCGCUCUUUCAAAGGCUUUGCGUCACUGGGGUCACACAUCCCCCCGAUUCCCCCCGAGCCUCGCUCCCCUUUGCACCUGCUUGGCGGCCACAGCGCCUGCGAUUUGGCUCCGCAUCAGGUGUGCGGAGGUUGCAGUAAACUGCUCCGAGUCUUCCAGAAGGGCGGGGUGAGGCGCAGGCAAGGGGCGGCCAGUCCAGGGUCGGCGCAGCCUCCCCCCUCCCCCCUCGUGGGUACCAGUCGGGUGGUGCAGGCGCGGCCCGGCCAGGGGUCUCCUCGGUCCGCCGCGGCGCUCGGGCGACCCCUGGCGGCCGCGUCCGGCAGCGCAUCCCGUCCAAGGCGGGCGUGCAGCGCCCUCUGCCGGCCGACGGCCGCCCGGCUCUUUUCCCGCGUCUUGGCUUGGGGUGGGGGAGAGGGGGUGCCGUUAUGACCCUAUUUUACAGUUAAGUAAACUGAGGUACAGAGAAGCUAAAUAAUUUACCCAAGGUGGAACUGGCUGAGAAGGGACAUGAAUCGGGGCAUUGUGACUGCAGAGUCUGCGUGGGGUCCGCGACAGCUGAUAGGACCUCAAGUUGGGUCAACAAAACGUGUCCGCAGAGCCUUCCCCGGGCCGGCUGACCUGACCGCUCCCGGGAGCGUAUUGAGCCCUGGGAACCCCACUUUCGGAAAGUCAUCAGCAAACCACAUUCCAGACUGUGUGGCCAGGAUGGUGGGAGGGCUCAAAAUCCAGUCACAUGAGGAGGAAUGGGAAGAGUGGCGUGUUUUAGCUCAGAGAAGGGGCCUCGGGGACUCCCGCACCUGAAGGGCUGCGUGGGGAAGAGGGUCCGGAGCGCCUUGGAUUCCGUGGUGGAGGCUGUAGGCAGGAGAUCUCUGCAGUCCAGAACCUUCCAUGGGCCAGGGCUGUGCUCUCCCUGCGGGCCCAGGGUAGGCCCCCAGGCCGCGUGCUGGCAGGCGUGGGGUGGGAUGGAUGCGGGGAGACCCUCGGCGGCGCUGACCGCUUGUGCAGGGUAUGCGGGCGCUGGGAUUGGGAGCAGGGCCGGCACAGGCCGGCUGCUCUCUCCUCCUGGGGGGGCGGGGGUGGGGGGGGGGCCCACGGGGUCGGAGCGCUCCGGGGGUGGGCGUGCACGGGGCCGGCUCGGCGGGGGAACGUGUCACCUCGGCAUCACGAGGGGAGCUGCAGACCUGGGGCAAGCAGGGAUGGGGAGCAGAGCGUGGUCCCAGCCGCAGGCGGUGACUGGGGAGCGUCCUAAAGUCCGAGGGGGCCCCUUCUGCCAGCCCGCAGGGGAGCGGGGAGGGGGCGCCCCGGAGAACAGCCAGCCUUCGGUUCCCCCGCUUUCUCUGGGUCUUGUGAUGUCGUGUUUUGUUUUUAGUGGCAGCCCCUUGGUGGGGUGGGCGCUGAGGCCACCAGAGGCGGGCGCCCCCUUCUCCACUGCGCGUGCCCUGCCGGCUGGGUGCGGGGGGGUGUUUCGGGUACUGAGGAAACAGGUCAUCCUCCUGUUCGUGCAGUGUUGAACCCGAAGCACAGGUACCACCCCACGAGGGGAAACUGAGGCACAAGGGCGCGGAAGAGGGUGCUGCAGGUUAGGUUCUCCAGGAGGCCAACCCUGAGCCAGAGUCAGGGGAGCAAAAGAUUUAUUGGGGAGCAGCACCGGUGGAGAGAAGGGACGAGCAGGGGUGGGUAGGAGGGGUUGGUAAACUGAUGUUCGGAUCUGCUGCGCGCGCCUCCGACAGCCCGGUGGAGCUCCGAGCCAUCGCUGCCCGUCGGAGGAGCCCGCGUGGGGCGGAAGGGGCUGGGCCCUCGCACCCUCCCUCACUCUGGCUGCAGGGCCCGAGAAGAUGACCUUGACCUUGGCAGCCGAGGCAGACCCCGUCCUCGGGUUAGCCAUCCGCUGACCCCCCCCUCCCUGCAGCUGGGUAGCCUCUUGCUCCUGAGGAGCUCAGCUCUGAGUCUGCCCUAGCGCGGGGUGGACCUCGUGCCUCAGGGCCCAGGGCUCCCCUAGAGGCCACCCCGAUGGGGUCGUCAAGCUCCUCCCCAUUGCCCAGGGAGGAGGGGUGGUCUCCCAACUGCUGGGCCCUGGACCCCCAGUGAGGCCGGGGUUGACUUCUUAGGGUCGUCCUGUCCCUGGUGGCUCACGUCUGGCAGAUGUGGCUUCACCAGGGGCCUGAGCACAGAGUGCGUGUGGCCUGCAGGCACAGCUCAGAGUGGCAGUGGCCCAACAGGAAGGCCACCUGCCUUCUUCAGGGCGACAGUGUCGGACCUGAGCAUCUCGCUCACUCCAGCCCUGUCCUUGACCCCUGCCUGGACCCAGUGUGCAGGUCGCCUGCUGGCCUCGGGGUCUCUCUGCCCCUGUGGGUGUCUGUCCACUCUUCCUCCUGGGCCAGCAGUGAUGGCAGGUCACAGGCCAGGGGUGCUGGGGCCUCCCCUCAGGACACCCAGCCCCCCACCAGGAGCAGAGCUCUGGACCUCCCACCCCUCUGCUCUCAUCCCCUUUCCUCCGGCCCAGGGGUCCCCAGGCCACCCAGGGAGGGGCCCAGCCCACUUACUGGUGUUGCCAGAUGCAGUGGGUGACGAUGUGGCCCUCUGGAGCCCCUCCCCCCAUGCCUCUCUCCCACGCCCUGCUGCUCCUUGUCCAGGGGCAGGUGCAAGGUGACAGUCACUCAAAACUGGCAUUCAUUUCCCUAAAACGCUAAAAACAAGCCAAGUCUGCCCCUGUCUUAGACCAUAUAGGAAAAUACUGCAGCCUGGCCCUUAAACCACAGACACUUAUUUCUCACACUUCCCGAUGCUCAGAGUCCAAUCUCAAGGGCUGGGCAGACGCGGGGUCUGGAGUGAGCCGGCUCCCUGGCGCACAGACGGAUGGCUUCUCACUGCGUCCUCACGUGACCGAAGGGGCAGAGAGCUCUUCUCAGUCUCCUUCAUAAUGAUGCUAAUCCCAUUCCUGAGGGCCCCGCCCUCAUGCCCUAAUCACCCCCGGAGGCCCCACCUCCUAACACCAUCACCUUGGGGCUUAGGUCUCAGCCUAUGACUUUGGGCACACAUUCAGCACUGAGCGGCUCCGUGGAAUUCCUCACCGUGCAAACCCUGACGCGGCUGCUGGUGGUGGGCCGUCUUCUCUGGUCCUUCCCUCCAGCUCCGAAGGCUUUGACCUCACAGGGCAGGACUCUGGAACAACCCAGAUGGCUAGAAAGUGGUGUCGGGCUGGGGGUGCGGUGCCUGGGGGCCCUGAGCGGCUGGCGGGUGAGGGCCACCUGCCAGCUUCCUGCCCUCGGCUGCCUGCCGCCGGCCAGCUCCGUCUCCAGCUCCAGCGAGGCCUCUCAGGACCAGGCACCGUGCACCUAGCCCGGAACCAGGAGGGAUGCUUGGGGCUGGAGGCUGCCCCAGCGGGGACCAGGCUGUCCCACUUCACAGACCCGGAAAGCCAGAGCGCGCGGGGAGAGCCGCCUGAGGUCGCCCAGCAGUGGAUGUCCGCUCCGGAAUCGGGAGUCCUCACACCCCGUCUGGGCAUUUAAAGCACCAGAUCACAUUGCCCACCCCCAGCAGACGGUGAUUGUCUCCUUUCUCUGCUGCUAGGAGCAGGAUGUUUAUGCUUUAUUUUAGGAAGUACUUAGCACGUAUUGAGCACCUGCUGUGUGCUGGGCGCUGUGCUGGGAACACGAAGAGAUAAAACGGUCUUUGUGACUGGCGAGCAUGCUCCCUCACUGCGGGUCGUCCUGAGGUCACAGAGAACUCUGCAAACCGGAAGGUCGGUCUCCACGUUGCUUUAUUCAGGCGCCCAGGGCCCUCCUCUUACUCUGCCUGGUCUGAAUUUCUUUCCUUCAGCCACAGGACCUGACAAUCUUAUUCUUGGCUCCCAGUGAGUUUUUUGUGGCCGGGGCCCAAAUUUCCCCAGCAAGGCUGCUAUAAAGCAAGCGUGCUCCCCACGUGGAGGCCAGUCCCUGGAGCUAGGUCCCCAGCCUGGGUGGCACCAAGCGCCUGUCCUGAGCCAAGCCUGUCGCUCAGCCCAGAGUUAAGGGAUCUGAGACGCUCAGGGAGGCCUGAGGCUUCAUCACACACCCGUCCUGGUAGAGACCCCACCGGGGUGAAUGGAGGGAUGGAAGGUGCCAGGACAGAGGGCGCUGAGACCCGCUGCCCUGCCCGAGGUAGCCAGGGCCGCCAUAGCUCAGGGCCACAGCCUGGGUGGCUGCCCAGCAGAAACGUGUCACCUACAGUCUGGAGGCGGGAAGUCCGAGCUCAAGGAGCGGGCAGGCUGGCUCCUUCUGAGGCUGCCAGGGAGGACCUGCUCCAGCCCCGCUCCUUGGCUGGCAGAUGGCCGCCUCCUCCCUGUGUCUUCACGUGCUCUCGUCUGUGCCCAAACUUCCCUUCUCCUGAGGACUCCGUCAUGACCUCAUUACCUCUUGAUUACCUCUGCAAAGACCCUGUCUCCAAACAAGGGCACAUUCUGGCGCACUGGGGGUUAGGACAACAGCAAAGGAACCUGGGGGGACACAAUUCCACCCCUAACUCUGAGUCGCCACGAUCACCCGUGUCCGGGGCAGGGGCUCACUGUCUAUUUCGGAGUCGGCCGCGUGGUGUCUGUCUCCCACGGCCGGGGCUCUGGGCGUGUCCUGUAGGGAGCCGUCCUCUGAGUGGGGCACCUACACCCAUCCCUCCUGGGGCCUCGGGCAGAAUCCCUGAGCACCUGCAGCAGGAAGCUGUGCACGGGAGCGGAAGAUGGAGAAGAAAGAUCCCAGGGCUUGUUCCCGGCCCAGAAACCCCUCUGCAGGGACGCAGGCCUGCCCCACGGGACGGUUUUCCUUCUUGCUGGUGGUUGGGUGGGUGCGGAGGGGCAGGGCUGUGCCAGGGUGGCGGCUGCAGCCAUCUGCUGCCCAUGGAAACUCAGACUGGCAAAUGGCCCUACUGUCAGGGGCGCUGCGUCCCCUCCCUUAGGGUUGCCAGGCUUAGCAAAUACAAACACAGGACUCCCAGUUACAUUUCAGUUUCAGGUUGACAAUAAACACUUAUGAGUGUAUUUCCCGAACAUUGCAGGGACACACCUGGACUACAAAACGACCUGUAGUGGACCUGUUCGACCAGGGGCUCAGCAAGGACCCCUCUGAGGGACAUCGGGCCAGACCUCAAUGAAAUCAAGGGACAGCAGAGCUGAUCUGGGAAAACGGUGGGGGCAGGGGACGGUGGGAGGAAUCCCACAAGGGCCAGUGUGGGGUGGUCUCAGAUUUUAGUUCGAGCUGGUUAAAACCUAGAUCCUGGGGCCAGCCCCGGGGGCCUAGUGGUUAAGUUCAGCAUGCUCCGCGUCUGCGGCCUGGGUUCAGAUCCUGGGCACGGACUUAAGCCACUCAUCUGUUAGCAGCCAUGCUAACUCACACACACACAAAAAGAGGAAAACUGGCAUUGGAUGGCAGCUCAGGGCAAAUCUUCCUCAGGAAACAAAAAAAAAAGGAGAUCCUGGGUCCUGCCUCUAAUUUAGUAGGUGUAGGGCAGGCACAGGACUCACCGUCUUAAAGAAGCCCCCUUAGAGUCUGUCUUACUCCCUCCUCCUUCCUGCAUUUUCCAUGCACAGCCCAGGGGGUUGACUCACUGUCUUGGGGUCAGAGCUGGGAAGCUGCUCACGGGUCACCUGGUGUAAACCCCUCCUGCUACCGACAGCUCCAGGGUCUCUAGGGACCUCGCGGACAGGGGUGAAGAGAAGCUGGCGCCGCGCCUGGUCUUCAGCUCCCGCAGGUUUCUAGAAGGAGCCCGAGGAGCAGAGGACCGGGCAGGGAGCAGCCGCAGCUACGCGCCCGGGCGGGGAGGCCUCGCGCCUGGCUCCAGCCUCUCCUAGUGGCUUCCACGGCGUCAGGACUUGGAGAACCGCAACGCAGCCCUGGAUCAGAGAGGGCCUUGCACAUAGAUGGUGCUCGUCUGGUGUCCGGGCGCCGCCGGCCCGUCUUCGCCGCACCAGCGGCCCAGCCCCGGUGCACCUGCCAAGGCCGAGGGGAGCAAGCAACAUCCCCGAGACCCUGGGGGCGCCCCAGGCCCGUCACAUGCUCGCCGGGCCUCCGUUUCCCCCGGGGGCUGUGGUGAGCUUGAGAUGAGGAAACGUGUGUGAAGUUGUCGUGUAAACUGUAACACACACAGGUCUUACCCCCCGUCUUCUCCCUGCCUGUCCUUGUCAAGUUACCGGGAGGGGACUUGUCAAGAGUAGAAGACACACUGGGAUGUCCAUCCAGUUUGUGAUGGCCCCUGGUUCUCUGGAGGCAGCACAGUAGAGCCGUGGAGAGAAUCCUGGCUCGCCAUGUACUGGCUGUGUGGCCUUCAGUGGUUACUCAACCUCUCUGUGCCUCAUCCCACAUCUGCAAAAUGGGAGGAAUAGUAGUAACACCUAUCUCAUGGGGUUGUCACGAGGAUUAAACCACGCAUGUAAAGUUCUCAGUUCUGGGCCUGGCUCAGCAGGGGUCAGCUCUGAUUAUGCCCACGCCUGGGGGUGAUGAAGCAGAGACCAGCAAAGGGGGCUCCUGCAGAUUCUUGCUGGCGUCCCCGUGCCCAGACACCAUGCUGCAGCUCCACCU
Equus caballus (horse) is the source of this 7088-nucleotide long non-coding RNA. NCBI's taxonomy places the organism in Eukaryota, Metazoa, Chordata, Mammalia, Perissodactyla, Equidae. The record is from Ensembl.